RNAcentral lists this long non-coding RNA (1805 nucleotides) under Ananas comosus (pineapple). RNAcentral describes it as "long non-coding RNA (ACOM_LNC010285)". Lineage: Eukaryota; Viridiplantae; Streptophyta; Magnoliopsida; Poales; Bromeliaceae. The record is from RNAcentral.
GCGCAACUGAGUAUUGUAAUAUUGUUCCGGUUUUAGUUCUUGUGAACGUUGACAUCGAUUCGUUCCAAAUUUACACUAUCGGGGCAUAAUAGAGCAAUAUAAUUAGGUUUUACUCUUUGUUGGAUAGAAUGAGAAAAAGUACUCGUCGCAAGGUUAUACUGUUAGGGUGCAACUGAGUAGUCUAAUGUUGUUCCGGUUUUGGUUCUUGUAAAUGUUGACAUCGAUUCGUUCCAAAUUUAUACUCUCGGGGCAUAAUAGAACAAUAUAAAUAGGUUUUUCUCUUUUUUCGAUAGAAUGAGAAAAAAUACUCGUCGCAAAGUUAUACUGUUAGGGCGUAAUUGAGUAUUCUAAUGUUGUUCCGGUUUUGGUUCUUGCGAACGUUGACAACAAUUCAUUCCAAAUUUAUACUCUUGGGGCAUAAUAGAAUAAUAUAAUUAGGUUUUACUCUUUGUUCGAUAGAAUGAGAAAUCGUACUCGUCGCAAAGUUACACUGUUAGUUCGCAAUUGAGUAGUCUAAUGUUGUUCCGGUUUUUAUUCUUGUGAACGUUGACAUCGAUUCGUUCCAAAUAUACACUCUCUGGGCAUAAUAGGAGAAUAUAAUUAGGUUUUACGCUUUGUUCGAUAGAAAGAGAAAAAGUACUCGUUGCAAAGUUAUGCUGUUAGGGCGCAANNNNNNNNNNNNNNNNNNNNNNNNNCAUCGAUUCGUUCCAAAUUUAUACUCUCGGGGCAUAAUAGAACAAUAUAAAUAGGUUUUUCUCUUUUGUUCGAUAGAAUGAGAAAAAGUACUCGUCGCAAAGUUAUACUGUUAGGGCGUACCUGAGUAUUCUAGUGUUGUUCCGAUUUUUGUUCUUGUGAACGUUGACAUCGAUUCAUUCCAAAUUUACACUCUCGGGGCAUAAUAGAAUAAUAUAAUUAGGUUUUACUCUUUGUUCGAUCGAAUGAGAAAUAGUACUCGUCGCAAAGUUAUACUGUUAGUCCGCAAUUGAGUAGUCUAAUGUUGUUCCGGUUUUUGUUCUUGUGAAUGUUGACAUCAAUUCGUUCCAAAUUUACACUCUCUGGGCAUAAUAGAACAAUAUAAUUCGGUUUUACGCUUUGUUCGAUAGAAAGAGAAAAAGUACUCGUUGCAAAGUUAUACUGAUUGGGCGCAACUGAGUAUUGUAAUAUUGUUCCGGUUUUAGUUCUUGUGAACGUUGACAUCGAUUCGUUCCAAAUUUACACUCUCGGGGCAUAAUAAAAGAAUAUAAUUAGGUUUACUCUUUGUUCGAUUGAAUGACAAAAAGUACUCGUUGCAAAGUUGUACUGUUAGGGUGCAACUGAGUAGUCUAAUGUUGUUCCUGUUUUGGUUAAUGUGAACGUUGACAUCGAUUCGUUCCAAAUUUACACUCUCGGGGCAUAAUAGAGCAAUAUAAAUAGGUUUUUCUCUUUGUUCGAUAGAAUGAGAAAAAGUACUCGUUGCAAAGUUAUACUGCUUGGGCGCAACUGAGUAGUCUAAUGUUGUUCCGGUUUUGGUUCUUGUGAAUGUUGACAGCGACUUUCCAAAUUUACAGUCUCGGUGCAUAAUUGAACAAUAUAAUUAUGUUUUUCUCUUCGUUCGAUAGAAUGAGAAAAAGUACUCGUUGCAAAGUUAUAAUGCUAGGGCGCAACUGAGUAGUCUAAUGUUGUUCCGGUUUUGGUUCUUGUAAAUGUUGACAUCGAUUCGUUCCAAAUUUAUACUCUCGGGGCAUAAUAGAACAAUAUAAAUAGGUUUUUCUCUUUUGUUCGAUAGAAUGAGAAAAGUACUCGUCGCAAAGUUAUACUGUUAGGGC